GCCGCGAUGGCGGAACUGGUAGACGCGCUGGACUCAAAAUCCAGUGGUAGCAAUACUGUGGGAGUUCGAGUCUCCCUCGCGGCACCA
This 87-nucleotide transfer RNA is filed under the name Candidatus Uhrbacteria bacterium. Its description in RNAcentral is "tRNA-Leu". It matches the Rfam family "tRNA". Rfam says of the family: Transfer RNA (tRNA) molecules are approximately 80 nucleotides in length. Their secondary structure includes four short double-helical elements and three loops (D, anti-codon, and T loops). The record is from RNAcentral. Lineage: Bacteria; Candidatus Uhriibacteriota.